This 533-nucleotide ribosomal RNA is filed under the name Bacillus sp. AT05-01. RNAcentral's name for it is "bacterial SSU rRNA". It matches the Rfam family "Bacterial small subunit ribosomal RNA", at positions 381 to 906 of the family's 1533-position model. Lineage: Bacteria; Bacillati; Bacillota; Bacilli; Caryophanales; Bacillaceae. The record is from RNAcentral.
GUCUGACGGAGCACGCCGCGUGAGCGAUGAAGGCCUUCGGGUCGUAAAGCUCUGUUGUUAGGGAAGAACAAGUAUCGGAGUAACUGCCGGUACCUUGACGGUACCUAACCAGAAAGCCACGGCUAACUACGUGCCAGCAGCCGCGGUAAUACGUAGGUGGCAAGCGUUGUCCGGAAUUAUUGGGCGUAAAGCGCGCGCAGGUGGUUCUUUAAGUCUGAUGUGAAAGCCCACGGCUCAACCGUGGAGGGUCAUUGGAAACUGGGGAACUUGAGUGCAGAAGAGGAAAGUGGAAUUCCACGUGUAGCGGUGAAAUGCGUAGAGAUGUGGAGGAACACCAGUGGCGAAGGCGACUUUCUGGUCUGUAACUGACACUGAGGCGCGAAAGCGUGGGGAGCGAACAGGAUUAGAUACCCUGGUAGUCCACGCCGUAAACGAUGAGUGCUAAGUGUUAGAGGGUUUCCGCCCUUUAGUGCUGCAGCUAACGCAUUAAGCACUCCGCCUGGGGAGUACGGCCGCAAGGCUGAAACUCAAAG